RNAcentral lists this ribosomal RNA (503 nucleotides) under uncultured bacterium. RNAcentral describes it as "partial 16S ribosomal RNA". It matches the Rfam family "Bacterial small subunit ribosomal RNA", at positions 30 to 523 of the family's 1533-position model. The record is from RNAcentral.
AUUGAACGCUGGCGGCAGGCUUAACACAUGCAAGUCGAGCGGGGUGAUGGUGCUUGCACUAUCACUUAGCGGCGGACGGGUGAGUAAUGCUUAGGAAUCUGCCUAUUAGUGGGGGACAACAUCUCGAAAGGGAUGCUGAUACCGCAUACGUCCUACGGGAGAAAGCAGGGGAUCACUUGUGACCUUGCGCUAAUAGAUGAGCCUAAGUCGGAUUAGCUAGUUGGUGGGGUAAAGGCCUACCAAGGCGACGAUCUGUAGCGGGUCUGAGAGGAUGAUCCGCCACACUGGGACUGAGAAACGGCCCAGACUCCUACGGGAGGCAGCAGUGGGGAAUAUUGGACAAUGGGGGGAACCCUGAUCCAGCCAUGCCGCGUGUGUGAAGAAGGCCUUAUGGUUGUAAAGCACUUUAAGCGAGGAGGAGGCUCUUUUGGUUAAUACCCAAGAUGAGUGGACGUUACUCGCAGAAUAAGCACCGGCUAACUCUGUGCCAGCAGCCGCCGUAA